Long non-coding RNA from Mus musculus (house mouse), 892 nucleotides. RefSeq annotates it as predicted gene, 31590. The record is from RefSeq and is a predicted model, not a curated record. The transcript is spliced from 3 exons. Lineage: Eukaryota; Metazoa; Chordata; Mammalia; Rodentia; Muridae.
AUAAGAGAGCAGGCUGAGCAAGCCAGGGGAGGCAAGCCAGUAAAGAACAUCCCUCCACGGCCUCUGCAUCAGCUCCUGCUUCCUGACCUGUUUGAGUUCCAGUCCUGACUUCCUUUGGUGAUGAACAGCAGCAUGGAAGUAUCAAGAUGUAGAACUCUCAGCUCCUCCUUCAACACCAUGCCUGUGUGAAUGCUGCCAUGCUUCCCACCAUGAUGAUAAUGGACCAAACCUCUGAAACUACCUGGCCACUCUAGCUCGAGCAUUACCCCUUCUCAAGUAGCCCUGCCUUGGCUCACGGUUUCUAGAUAGCCAGAACAGAAAAACAAAAAUUCAUCCCGGUGCAAGGGUUCCUUGUGUCUAAAAGGUGAAACUAAGAAGGUGGCUCCUGCUGGAUGGGAAUGAAGAGAGUCCUGAGAAGGGAAGCAGAUUGGUACCCAUGGAGCUAGAGGGCCCUUGGCGUGAGUAUGGAGAUGAACCUGGGUAUCCAGAAUGCCAGAGAGGCUGGUUGCACCCUGCCAGACUCAGGAAUCCUUUCUCUUCGCUGUGUGUGUUCUCCAAAGAUCUUCUCGGUUACCUCAUCUCUACCACAAGAACUUCCUUAGCAAUGGAAAGCACAUUUCUGUUAAAAAGUAAGAAAAUUGAACAUUAUCAAUGCAAGAUUACUCCCAAAUAAAUUAUAGCUAAAUUCCAUCUAAAAAAACAAAAAACUCCAGGUGAGAGUAAUCCUCCAUACAGGGCAAAUUGUGCAUGGAGGUCAGAGUGGUGUGCCUUGUGACUCCAUGUCCAUGGUUAAAACUGUCUGGGUCCCACCCCAUAGUCUGACCCACAGAGGCUGCUCUUGACUGUGAGGAGGGAGGACAUUCACUUAUUCAGUUCUGAGUUCGUUGUUUCC